Molecule: non-coding RNA, 110 nt
Filed under: Flammeovirga sp. SJP92
Lineage: Bacteria; Pseudomonadati; Bacteroidota; Cytophagia; Cytophagales; Flammeovirgaceae
Also listed under: 1 other name
Description: SAM riboswitch aptamer (S box leader)
Rfam family: SAM riboswitch aptamer (S box leader)
About the family: The SAM riboswitch is found upstream of a number of genes which code for proteins involved in methionine or cysteine biosynthesis in Gram-positive bacteria.
Source: Rfam by way of RNAcentral
UACUUAUCAAGAAAGAUAGAGGGACUGGGCCCUAUGAUGUCUUAGCAACCUGCGCUCCCCAUAGCAAGGUGCUAACUCCCAGCUCGAAGGUGUUCGGGAAUAGAUGAGUU